GCCAGGCAUGGUGGUGCGUGCCUGUAAUCCCAGCUACUCAGGAGGCUGAGGCAGGAGAAUUGCUUGAACCCAGGAGGCAGAGGUUGCAGUCAGCCAAGAUUGCUCCAUUGCAUUCCAGCCUGGGUGACAGAGCAAGACUCUGUCUCAA
Molecule: non-coding RNA, 148 nt
Filed under: Pan troglodytes (chimpanzee)
Lineage: Eukaryota; Metazoa; Chordata; Mammalia; Primates; Hominidae
Source: Rfam by way of RNAcentral